GGGCGUACAACUCAGUAGUAGAGCAUUUGACCGCAGAUCAAGAGGUCACCGGUUAGAACCCAGUUGGGCCCU
Molecule: non-coding RNA, 72 nt
Organism: Picea glauca (white spruce)
Lineage: Eukaryota; Viridiplantae; Streptophyta; Pinopsida; Pinales; Pinaceae
Source: Rfam